CCAGACUCCUACGGGAGGCAGCAGUAGGGAAUCUUCGGCAAUGGACGGAAGUCUGACCGAGCAACGCCGCGUGAGUGAAGAAGGUUUUCGGAUCGUAAAGCUCUGUUGUAAGAGAAGAACGAGUGUGAGAGUGGAAAGUUCACACUGUGACGGUAUCUUACCAGAAAGGGACGGCUAACUACGUGCCAGCAGCCGCGGUAAUACGUAGGUCCCGAGCGUUGUCCGGAUUUAUUGGGCGUAAAGCGAGCGCAGGCGGUUAGAUAAGUCUGAAGUUAAAGGCUGUGGCUUAACCAUAGUACGCUUUGGAAACUGUUUAACUUGAGUGCAAGAGGGGAGAGUGGAAUUCCAUGUGUAGCGGUGAAAUGCGUAGAUAUAUGGAGGAACACCGGUGGCGAAAGCGGCUCUCUGGCUUGUAACUGACGCUGAGGCUCGAAAGCGUGGGGAGCAAACAGGAUUAGAUACUCUGGUAGUCCACGCCGUAAACGAUGAGUGCUAGGUGUUAGACCC
RNAcentral lists this ribosomal RNA (507 nucleotides) under uncultured bacterium. RNAcentral's name for it is "bacterial SSU rRNA". It matches the Rfam family "Bacterial small subunit ribosomal RNA", at positions 331 to 830 of the family's 1533-position model. The record is from RNAcentral.